GAUGAACGCUGACAGAAUGCUUAACACAUGCAAGUCUUUGGCGAAGCUGUGCUUGCACAGCCUAGCCAAGGCAGACGGGUGAGUAACGCGUAAGGAACUUGCCCUGCAGUCAGGGAUAACAGACGGAAACGACUGAUAAGACCUGGUAAAGUCAGGCGGACUCAUGUCCAGCCUGAUGAAAAGAGAUGCUGCAGGAGAGCCUUGCGUCCUAUUAGCUUGUUGGUGGGGUAACGGCCCACCAAGGCGAUGAUAGGUAGCCGGCCUGAGAGGGUGGACGGCCACAAGGGGACUGAGAUACGGCCCUUACUCCUACGGGAGGCAGCAGUGGGGAAUAUUGGACAAUGGGGGCAACCCUGAUCCAGCAAUUCUGUGUGCACGAUGAAGGUUUUCGGAUUGUAAAGUGCUUUCAGCAGGGAAGAAAAAAAUGACGGUACCUGCAGAAGAAGCGACGGCUAAAUACGU
Molecule: ribosomal RNA, 462 nt
Filed under: uncultured bacterium
Lineage: Bacteria
Description: partial 16S ribosomal RNA
Rfam family: Bacterial small subunit ribosomal RNA
Source: RNAcentral